AUGAUAGUACAUUAAAUCUGUUUGUAGCAACGUCACAGAGAAGACCAUAUUGGCAGAUAUCGCCUGAUUUGUAUUCUUACGUUAAGUAUAUAUUGUCUGUUUUAGACCUUUACCAAAACUCUAUGGAGGAAAAUCAGUAGCGGAUGACAGAAAAUGAGUGUUAAUGUAAAGAUUUUUUAAGUUGAUAAAUGAAGAUAACUAUGAUUUAUGUAGGAGAAUACAUCAUAUUUGUACUAUCGUAUUGCACUGCAGUGCUUGGUUAUCAGAGAAUCACCUGUGAGAGCAAGAAACAUGCGUACAAAGCAUGUUCCCUAAAUGACCACUACAAUACUAUUGUAAAAUCCGAACAACUAUCUGGUUCUCCAUGUGAAAUCGGUGUGUCGUUCGGUCUGAACGGUAACAUUAUAUGGGUGAGCAAAGGGUGCCGGGCAACUUUCAUUGUCUCAAAUACAGAAACAACUACAUCCACUAACAACGCCGAAUCCUAUUACGACUACAUCUGUUGCUCAAACGACCACGGGAAAGUAUAUUGCCACCACCUUUGUCAUUCAAUCAACAAGUGACGAGCACACCACUGCACCCACUAUCUCGACCUCCAUCAAUAAUGCUACUGGAUUUCGUACAUGUGAUUGUACCGCGACAUGCAUUAAAGAUCUACGCAAGAAGCUAGCAAUCAACAAAGCUCUGUUGUCAUCAGUGAUUAGAAAACGUACAUCCGCUUCAGACCAACGCACGUCAUCAGCCAUCAUAGGAUACUCGGCAGUGACUUUCCUAGUAAUGGUCGGACUAUUUCUAGUAAUUUUGGACCUAAUUACACUUUAAGAGUAUUUAUUAGGCAAGCUGAUACCUUCAUGAGAACGCCUAUAUAUGUUUGAAACAUGGCUUGCAAAUGUACAUAUUCAGCUUACCUGGUAAUAUUUAAAACGUAAUCCAGCCGUUUUGUCCUAACUGUAACAUUAUAGUGAGACAUAAAUGUUUUCAAAACAAGUUUAAGUGAAAUAUCAUGUUGUGCAUCCCACCAUAUAGAUAUAUCUUUAUUCAAUAUGAAAAAUCUAUGAACUCCAUGUCCGUCAUAACCCGGACACGGAUAAUUUCAUAUGAAAAACAAAACAAAUGUUUUUGCUCUACAAAAGGUCGAGACGAUUUCUUACGUAUUACUUAUGUACAUGAAACAUAACAUAAGCCUAAUGGAUUCGAUAAAGGAGGUCCAGCAUUUUCAUCUUUCUGUGUGGUACAUAUUAUUUUCAAGGCUUCAGCUGCUGAUGAAGUUAUAUUAUUCAAACCAAUACGAACACUAUAACAAAUAAAGUGA
Molecule: long non-coding RNA, 1312 nt
Organism: Pecten maximus
Lineage: Eukaryota; Metazoa; Mollusca; Bivalvia; Pectinida; Pectinidae
Exons: 4
Source: RefSeq, a predicted model, not a curated record